AUUGAACGCUGGCGGCAUGCCUUACACAUGCAAGUCGAACGGCAGCACGGGAGCAAUCCUGGUGGCGAGUGGCGAACGGGUGAGUAAUAUAUCGGAACGUGCCCAGUCGUGGGGAUAACGUAGCGAAAGCUACGCUAAUACCGCAUACGAUCUAUGGAUGAAAGCGGGGGAUCGCAAGACCUCGCGCGAUUGGAGCGGCCGAUAUUAGAUUAGGUAGUUGGUGAGGUAAAGGCUCACCAAGCCGACGAUCUGUAGCUGGUCUGAGAGGACGACCAGCCACACUGGGACUGAGACACGGCCCAGACUCCUACGGGAGGCAGCAGUGGGGAAUUUUGGACAAUGGGCGCAAGCCUGAUCCAGCAAUGCCGCGUGCAGGAUGAAGGCCUUCGGGUUGUAACUAGCUUUUGUACGGUAACGAAACGGUAGGAGAC
This 431-nucleotide ribosomal RNA is filed under the name uncultured bacterium. RNAcentral's name for it is "bacterial SSU rRNA". It matches the Rfam family "Bacterial small subunit ribosomal RNA", at positions 30 to 462 of the family's 1533-position model. The record is from RNAcentral.